GACCUUGUAGCUCAGUUGGUAGAGCAUUGGACUAGCAAACCAAAGAUCGCGGGUUCUAUUCUCACCGGGGUCA
Non-coding RNA from Paramuricea clavata, 73 nucleotides. The record is from the annotation of a GenBank genome assembly. NCBI's taxonomy places the organism in Eukaryota, Metazoa, Cnidaria, Anthozoa, Malacalcyonacea, Plexauridae.